GGGGGGGGGGGGGGGCGUGGCUGGGGCGUGCAGGGCGGGCGAACGGGCGAGGAGCUGGCUCCUCUGAAGUGAGCGGCGGACGGGUGAGUAGCAAGUGGAGAACCUACGUAUAUGACUGGGAUCACUGCGGGACACCGGAGCUAAUCCCGCAUAAUAUAGUGACGCGCAUGGGUCAAUAACGAAAGACGGUGUUGCUGUCACUUAUCGAUGGAUCCGCGCUGCAUUAGCUAGUAUGGAAGGUACAGGCUUACCAAGUCAACGAUGAGUAGCCGACCUGGGAGGGUGAUCGGCCACACUGGAACUGAGACACGGUCCAGACUCCUACGGGAGGCAGCAGUAGGGAAUCUUCCGCAAUGGGCGAAAGCCUGACGGAGCAACGCCGCGUGAGUGAUGAAGGUCUUCGGAUCGUAAAACUCUGUUAUUAGGGAAGAACAAAUGUGUAAGUAACUAUGCACGUCUUGACGGUACCUAAUCAGAAAGCCACGGCUAACUACGUG
Molecule: ribosomal RNA, 497 nt
Filed under: uncultured bacterium
Lineage: Bacteria
Description: partial 16S ribosomal RNA
Rfam family: Bacterial small subunit ribosomal RNA
Source: RNAcentral